RNAcentral lists this ribosomal RNA (502 nucleotides) under uncultured bacterium. RNAcentral describes it as "bacterial SSU rRNA". It matches the Rfam family "Bacterial small subunit ribosomal RNA", at positions 28 to 524 of the family's 1533-position model. The record is from RNAcentral.
GAUGAACGCUAGCGGCAGGCCUAAUACAUGCAAGUCGAACGGCAAGAUUUGGUAGCAAUACUGAAUCCUAGAGUGGCGCACGGGUGAGUAACGCGUACAUGACAUACCUAUAAGCGAGGGAUAGCAUUGGGAAACUGGUAGUAACCCCUCAUGUGAUUAUUUGUAAUAAAGGUAAAUAAUUAAAACUACGGUGCUUAUAGAUUGGUGUGCGUCUGAUUAGCUAGUUGGCGAGGUAACGGCUCACCAAGGCGACGAUCAGUAGGGGGCGUGAGAGCGUGAACCCCCACACGGGUACUGAGACACGGACCCGACUCCUACGGGAGGCAGCAGUAAGGAAUAUUGGUCAAUGGAGGGAACUCUGAACCAGCCAUGCCGCGUGCAGGAUGAAAGCCCUCUGGGUUGUAAACUGCUUUUAACAGGGAAGAAAUGCUAUACGCGAUAUAGUACUGACGGUACCUGAGGAAUAAGCACCGGCUAACUCCGUGCCAGCAGCCGCGGUAAU